Drosophila montana is the source of this 296-nucleotide long non-coding RNA. RefSeq lists it as uncharacterized. The record is from RefSeq and is a predicted model, not a curated record. NCBI's taxonomy places the organism in Eukaryota, Metazoa, Arthropoda, Insecta, Diptera, Drosophilidae. The transcript is spliced from 2 exons.
CUUUAGCUAAAUAUACUAAGCGAACGCUUUCAAAAGUCAAGAGAUAUCGAAAACAGCUGCAGCCGUAUCCGUGCGAUUUACUAAUUUAUAGAUGCCUGGCAGGCGGCGACCAGGCCACAAAAGGUGCGCAUAGUCCUGACAUAGUUGGCCCCAUCACAAAACUUUGCACGCCGCCAACUUUAACUUCAGCUUGUGGUCUAUAAAUUACAAUAUGAGCCAUCGCUUGUCUGUACUGCGGUGUCCCUAUAGGUGUGUGUGUGUGUGCGCGCAAUAAAACGCCAUGAAAAUUAAAUAAA